UAUAGGAAUUGAGCAGCACGAGUCAAAUCCGAUCAGUGUUUGAGCAGACCACCAUCUGUCUGCAAAACAGAAUCAAGUUCUUCCAGGAACACUUGUACUUCUAGGUACAGUUUUGAAGGAUGCUUGGUAGGAUGGUAGGAUGGUUGUUCCAAGCACCUUGGAGAACUAACCCCAGAUCUACUGUGGAUAAUAAAUUUGGGGCAGAUCAGCCGCCUCCUUGAUGGUGCUGCAUAUUGGAGAAGUAUCUACUAAACCUGCAGGAAACCCCACCAAACCAGACACUGAUUAUUACACUGCUCUGGUGUGGGUCAUGUCUGGAAACCAAGUGUAAAGUCCAUCAGCUGGUGGGGAAAAGCAGGAGGUUCUUUGGCACUUGUGGAGAACAUGAGCAGGCAGAAGAAGCCUGGAGCUCUGAUUACAGAUCAGAGCACCAUUCUUCUGCACCCAGUCCCUCUGUUUUUCUGCAGAGUUGAGACACUGAGGUUGGGCUUUUGGUCUGCAGUUCUUCUAUAAAGAUCACAUCUGGCCAGACAACAGCUGGGUGUACCUGGGAAGUAUGAAUGAUUGGUCUUUCAGUUUCCUGACCUCUGCGUCUGUGCUCCUCAAAAUCAGCUAUUUUGAAGAAGCACAAAGAAAGAGGUGAAGAGCAGAUCCUGAAAGCUCAGUCUGCUCUGAGAUCCUGCUGAUGCAGAAGACCUGCCCUGGGUCUUUGUUGCUGUGCUCAGUUCUGCCCUGAUGAGCGGCGUGUUUCUGACCCACUGUGGACACCGUAUAUCACACAGUGGGUGUGGUUUACGUGUAACCUCAUGAAAAUCUUUUUCUAUCCCACCUGUAUUCAUCCAAACCCCGCCCACCGCUCCAUGAUUGGAUACUCACACAGCGCUCUCUGAUUGGACAGCGGUGGCGUUUCGCGAAACAUUUAAAAUAAGUACUAAUACAAAUGUUUAUUAAAUAUUAUUGUAAUAUUUUAUAUAUUUGCCUGAUUUUGAGAAUAUAAAACCAAAAGCUUUAAACGUAUAUUCCUUGUAAAAACAGUAAUUUUAUUGUGUUUACAUUGUAAUUGUGCCUUUUUUUUUACUUUAUUUGUAAUUAAUAAUCAGGAGUUGAAUAUCAUUAAUAAACACUUUCCCCCACACAGUUAAAACAAUUUUCAUAGUUCAGAGCGUGAUUUUAGCUUCUUUCAGCUUUCCAGAAAAUAAUAAUUAAAUGGAAAUACACUUAUAAAUCUUUAUAAACCAGUGUGGGACGAGUUUCAGAAUGGACCAGUGUUGAACGAACACACACACACACACACACACACACACACACACACACACACACACAC
Silurus meridionalis is the source of this 1324-nucleotide long non-coding RNA. RefSeq lists it as uncharacterized. The transcript has 4 exons. The record is from RefSeq and is a predicted model, not a curated record. NCBI's taxonomy places the organism in Eukaryota, Metazoa, Chordata, Actinopteri, Siluriformes, Siluridae.